Molecule: ribosomal RNA, 379 nt
Filed under: uncultured eukaryote
Lineage: Eukaryota
Description: partial 18S ribosomal RNA
Rfam family: Eukaryotic small subunit ribosomal RNA
Source: RNAcentral
CAAUAGCGUAUAUUAAAGUUGUUGCGGUUAAAAAGCUCGUAGUUGGAUUUCUGCUGAGAACGACCGGUCCGCCCUUUGGGUGUGUAUCUGGCUCUUUCUUGGCAUCUUCUUGGUGAACGUUGCUGCACUUGACUGUGUGGAGCGCUACCCAGGACUUUUACUUUGAGGAAAUUAGAGUGUUUCAAGCAGGCAUACGCCUUGAAUACAUUAGCAUGGAAUAAUAAGAUAGGACCUCGGUUCUAUUUUGUUGGUUUCUAGAGCUGAGGUAAUGAUUAAUAGGGAUAGUUGGGGGCAUUCGUAUUUAACUGUCAGAAGUGAAAUUCUUGGAUUUGUUAAAGACGGACUACUGCGAAAGCAUUUGCCAAGGAUGUUUUCAUUG